Molecule: ribosomal RNA, 569 nt
Filed under: uncultured bacterium
Lineage: Bacteria
Description: bacterial SSU rRNA
Rfam family: Bacterial small subunit ribosomal RNA
Source: RNAcentral
GAGUUUGAUCCUGGCUCAGAUUGAACGCUGGCGGCAGGCCUAACACAUGCAAGUCGAGCGGAAACGAGUUAACUGAACCUUCGGGGAACGUUAACGGCGUCGAGCGGCGGACGGGUGAGUAAUGCCUGGGAAAUUGCCCUGAUGUGGGGGAUAACCAUUGGAAACGAUGGCUAAUACCGCAUAAUAGCUUCGGCUCAAAGAGGGGGACCUUCGGGCCUCUCGCGUCAGGAUAUGCCCAGGUGGGAUUAGCUAGUUGGUGAGGUAAUGGCUCACCAAGGCGACGAUCCCUAGCUGGUCUGAGAGGAUGAUCAGCCACACUGGAACUGAGACACGGUCCAGACUCCUACGGGAGGCAGCAGUGGGGAAUAUUGCACAAUGGGCGCAAGCCUGAUGCAGCCAUGCCGCGUGUAUGAAGAAGGCCUUCGGGUUGUAAAGUACUUUCAGCAGUGAGGAAGGUGGGUAUGUUAAUAGCAUAUUCAUUUGACGUUAGCUGCAGAAGAAGCACCGGCUAACUCCNUGCCAGCAGCCGCGGUAAUACGGAGGGUGCGAGCGUUAAUCGNAAUUUACUG